UACGUAGGGUGCAAGCGUUGUCCGGAAUCAUUGGGCGUAAAGCGCGCGUAGGCGGCCUCAUAAGUCCGUUGUGGAAGUCAAAGGCUCAACCUUUGAAAGCCGAUGGAUACUGUGAGGCUAGAGUCCGGAAGAGGCGAGUGGAAUUCCUGGUGUAGCGGUGGAAUGCGCAGAUAUCAGGAGGAACACCAAUAGCGAAGGCAGCUCGCUGGGACGGUACUGACGCUAAGGCGCGAAAGCGUGGGGAGCGAACAGG
This 253-nucleotide ribosomal RNA is filed under the name uncultured bacterium. Its description in RNAcentral is "partial 16S ribosomal RNA". It matches the Rfam family "Bacterial small subunit ribosomal RNA", at positions 524 to 776 of the family's 1533-position model. The record is from RNAcentral.